Pipra filicauda (Wire-tailed manakin) is the source of this 1206-nucleotide long non-coding RNA. RefSeq lists it as uncharacterized. Lineage: Eukaryota; Metazoa; Chordata; Aves; Passeriformes; Pipridae. The record is from RefSeq and is a predicted model, not a curated record. The transcript is spliced from 3 exons.
CUCUCUCAGAAGAUGGAAUUUUGAAGCAGAUGGCCAGGACAGGAUCUGUGUGCUGCUUGUUCCUGGAAACAAGAGGUGCCACAUGGUGCUCUGGGAUAGAAGUUUUUAACCAUGGAAGAUACAAAACCAGGAAUGUCUUAGACAAGACUGGGGGGAAGGAUCUUAGUGUGCCAUCAUCUGUAAGUGGGCACCAGUGAGAAACCACCAGUAGCUCAGGAGAAGGCCAAGAAGCCAAGUUUUAGCUGACUCCCUCGUCACCUUGGAGCCUCCUGCACCAACAUCCCACACAAACCCGCCAGCCCUCUCCCAAACAUCAGGGAUCUGUAUUCCAGGCAGAGCUCAAAUGCACCAUUUGGCAUUACCAAGAGCUCCAAACCCUCCCAGGUGUUUUACAACAAACGAGGCUGCGAUUUCCUUGCAGCUACUGAGUGACUUCUUGAAAUUCAGCAGCAUGAUGUGCUUGCAUCCACCCAACAGCCUCCAAACACUCUUUAUGGCUGUCAGUGCUCCAGCCACCAAGAGAAAACAUCACCUCAAUACUCAGAUCCUUCUAAUUCCAAAGCACCAGAAGUCAGGAGGACUGGAAUCACGACCCUCAACAGGUAACCAAGGGAGGUUUGCUGGGAGCAGACCCGGAUGGAAGCAGCAUCAGCCUCGAGUGCUUCCGCCCACAGACUCCCACCUAACGCUCGUCAGGCAGCUCCAAGCACUCCGAGUUUCCAAGAUGUCAUCUGGAUCAUCAAACACAGUUCUAAGCACGACCCUGUACAACAGCAGCAAUUCCUGUUGCUCACUAGCAAGUCAUCCCUGUUUUGGACAACAUUUUUGGAAUGUGCUGCCCACAGUACAUUGAAUUUCCUAAGUUAUGCCUGGAAAUCAGGAUGUUUUGUCCCAGUAAGUGGACACUGUUUAAUAAGACCCCUUCUGCAACAAUGGGUUUGCACUCGCUGUGACAGAGCUCCAUUUAACCAGGGCUGUGGAAUUCUGGGGGAUAUCUGCACUGCCUCAACUCUGCUGGCCUCUGGAAAAAGCCAUUCCUCAACAAACAUAGCUUUGUAACUUUGGAGAGGCCUGGGUUUGGGCUUAUUUUAAUGGCACAGCUUUUACCCAGUAAGGACCUGACCUUCACCAUGUAAAUGAGAAACCUGUAUUUGCUGCAAAUGCUCUGAUGUUCCACAUCCCCUGUUCUGCUCCGAGAAACCUUCU